RNAcentral lists this ribosomal RNA (456 nucleotides) under uncultured bacterium. RNAcentral describes it as "bacterial SSU rRNA". It matches the Rfam family "Bacterial small subunit ribosomal RNA", at positions 28 to 507 of the family's 1533-position model. The record is from RNAcentral.
GGUGAACGCUGGCGGCGUGCCUAACACAUGCAAGUCGAGCGGUGCAGUUUGAAGCUUCGGUGGAAAGCUGCAUAGCGGCGGACGGGUGAGGAAAACGUAGGAACGUGCCCCUUGGAGUUGGAUAGCCACGGGAAACUGUGGGUAAACCGACAUAGACUCGAGAGAGUAAAGGCCGAAAGGCGCCAAGGGAGCGGCCUGCGGCCCAUCAGGUAGUUGGUAGUGUAAAGGACUACCAAGCCGACGACGGGUAGCCGGUCUGAGAGGAUGGCCGGCCACAAGGGCACUGAGAGACGGGCCCUACUCCUACGGGAGGCAGCAGGUGGGGGAUUUUGGACAAUGGGCGAAAGCCUGAUCCAGCGACGCCGCGUGGAGGACGAAGCCCUUCGGGGUGUAAACUCCUUUUCUCAGGGAAAAAGGAUGAUGGUACCUGAGGAAUAAGCCCCGGCUAACUACGUG